AUGGCGACCAGGGACAAAGAACAAAGCAUGCCUGCCUCGUGGGGCAUGGCCCUGCCCCCAGGCCACCCCUGGUGGAGCAUGGCAUCACACCCGGGCCACCCCUGGUGGGGCGUGGUUUCGCCCCAAGCCCUGCCUCCGGGGGGAGGCAUCCCGACCCCGGCACAGCCUCAGCAGGGCGUGUCGUCGACCAACAAGGAAAGCGCGGAUCCGCCCCAAAUCACCAUGGAAACUCCGGCCGGCUGCCAAGAGAGGGCGCGCCAUGAUGACAUCACACUAGGAGUGACAGGAGGAGAACCAGGAAGUGGAAGCAUCGGGGCUCCGAAUUCAAGUCCUGCCUCAAAGAUCAGCUUCGAUACUGCUGUAACCACAGCACAAGAAAACACUCAGGACAUCCAGGAAAAUAAUACAAAACAACUUAAUGUUACCAAAGAGCCGGAAACAGCUCCAGCUCCAUCUGAUCCUGCUGUGAUCUCCGAAGCCAAGGUAGUGACCACACUUUCAAAUUCACCUACAUCUCCAACUGAAAACUAUUUCAGUGGCUUAGCACAUGUCAGCGAUCAAAAGGAGGAUAUAUCUUCCACACUUGUUUGUGAAGAUAACAACAAGAAGAGACACCGCAACCUAGACAAGACCCCUGGAUUUACACAGCAAGAAAAGCUGGGAUGUAUAAAAUCUACAAAGAGCACAACAGCAGAUCCCAGGUCACCUGUCACAAAACUGAGUUUAUCUCCUACUGCAGAGUUAAAGGACAUUGAAAUAACAAAGUUGCUUGUUUACAAAAUAUCUUCCUGUUUAUAAAUUGUUUUGCUAAGUUGAAAUUUUGUACAGUUCUAAAGUUAAAUGUUUUAAGUUAUAAUCUUGUUGUUAAAAAGACCAAAUAAUUCCUAAACAUAAAUAUUGUAGCCUCAGGUAUGGAAAAUCCAUUGACAACCAAGAAAAUUAAAUUUGGCAAAAUUUGAAAUACGCUGUCAAUGUCAUCUUGCAUGCAAAAGGUUCCUUGCAGGUAAGAUAACAAAGAACAAGCUGCAUAUUUGCAUUUUCAAAAUUUUUUCAAAUUAAUAAAAAAGAAAUCGGGAAUUGUCACAGUAUAAGCUGUGGAAAAGGACACUGGUGGGACACAACCCAUCAGGAAAAAAGUCGAGAAAAGUUAGCGGGUUGGUCCGAUGGUCCCUGCCUGACUGCAAGAAACCAAAAUUGGUCAAAAGGGGGUUGGACAGCCAGACUUUGGGCCAAUAACAGGAGCUUAAAGAGAUACAUUUAGGAGGUGAUAAAAGGAACAGGGAAGAAGAAUAAACUCUCUUUUUUCGGUCGAAAGGAUCACGGUGUGCCUGUUGUCUCUCUCGGGGGGCUCUGGCACAAAACAACACAGACUCAGCAAAAGAGAUCAGGAGAGAUCCACACAGACAAUUCCACAGGGUUUAUUUCUUCCGUGAAGGGGGUUCAUGCAGCAGUCCAAAUACAUGGGAUACUACAGGGGUUCUUAUAGGGACCAAUAAGCUACAGACUUGAAAACUUAUCCAACUACAUAGAAGUUUUAGGUGUAAAAUAACCAAUUACAGAAAGGAUUCAAUUCUAGCCAAUUAUCACUUACAAAGAUAAUCAGGGGUAUAGCAUAUUUCUAGUAUUAGUCAUUCUAAGUAACGUUUUCUUAUCUAAAGGAUGAUUUUCCGGGGAGGUCCUGUUAUUGUGUUAGCUUCUUCCACAAUUCCUCUCUCUGUAUUUACUAAAAAGGCGCUUCCAACAUUUUUUAAGCACUGAACAAAGCAUGAAAACAUAGCUAACACAAUGACAAUUACAAUCAAAAUCCACAAAAUUCCCUUAACCAAUGAUGAAGUCCAUCCCAUCAAUCCCCAUUGACCAAAAAGGUCAUGGACCCAGUCAGGGUUGGUUUCCAUUUUCACGUUCUUCACGUGUUCGUACAGCUUCUGGAUGUUGGCGUGGAUGGAUGUGGAAUGUGAAGAGAGGUUGAAACAGCACAUCCCUUCAAAGUCCUGGCAACCAUGUCCAUGGGCAAGCAACAGGAAGUCAAUUGCAGCACUGUUUUGCAGAGAUGCAUGUCUUGUAGUUUCUUCAUCCUUCAAAAGAUCACUCAGGGCAGCAGAUGUAGCGUUGGCCUGCUUACUAAGCCAGUAGGCCAAAUGAUUGAUUUUGCCAAGGGCCUUUGCUGCUGCUACCCAUGGUCGGAACAGGGAGACAGCAACUCUUUUGGGUUUAUUCCAAUUGUACAAUUUAAAAUCAUAACUUUCAUAAAAUUCAGUGCAGGAUCUUUUUUCACAUUUUGAUUCGCUUUCUUUUUUCUAAUUAUGUAACAAGGUAAUGUUGGGGGUGAGGGUAAAAAGCCUGCCAAGGCUACAGGGUCCCCCCUGGAGAUGAGAGGGGAUUCCAGCUGAAACUCGAUCACCACAGAUAAGGAACAUUCCUCGGGCCAAUAUUUUGGGGUAGAGAGAGGACUCAGAGAGUGAAUGAACAGUGUGAUUACACCAAUCGGGAGAAUUACAAGCUGUGUUGAUGGGUGAAAUAUCUUUAAUAUAUGUGGUUUUUAUCAGAUCAAAUUUGGGCAAAUUUUGUUUUGGAUAUUUAAAGUAAAAUUUGACACAGAAUGUUGCCUUGCAGGACACCAGCAAGUCCAAUUCUUGGGGUUCUUUUGGAGCAUUUGGCAGCAUUUUUCUCCACUCCUCCCAAGUGUCUACUGGAUUGGGUCUCUUACCUGUAGUGCGGAGGAGCUCUGAGUUAUAAACGGGCCAGUGUCCUGGGGUGAUGUUAUGGUGCUUGUAUCCCCAAUCGUGUGUUCUGUUUAUGCCUGGUAUUAUGUUCUGUGCUUUCAGGACUAACUCUGAAAGUGAAGGUUUGUUUUGUCUGCUUAUCAGCUGGCUCCCCUCCGCCAUCGUCUGUGCUUAGGGGAGGCGAGGUUUGCAGGCUCAGGCUGGCUUUUGGAUUUUUGCUUCCUUGGCUUGCUGGCUUUGGCUUUGCUUACUUUUGCUUUUGCUUAUUAGUUAGUUUAGUUAGGCAGUCCAAUUUCUUUCCCUGGACUGUUUUUUUUUGUUCUUUCUUUCUUUCCCUUUCCUGAAUACCAUCUGAACCUGCUUCGGACUGGGACCUGGGAAACACCAAGGAACAUUGGGACUCUGCAAUUUGUGAUCUGCAGCAGUUAUCCCCAGCGCCAACGGAGAAACUUUUCAUCUUUGGACAAAGAUGGGGCUUCAGAUAGGGAAUACAAGCAAAAUUUGCUAUCUUUAUGUUGGAAGGGGAAGGAUUGGGCUUUCUCCUUCAUUCUUUUCCUUCAUUCCUUUCCCCCACCCUUUUUUUUUUUUACCUAACUCUAAGGAUAGUGGAGUGGGUAUAGGGUUGGGAUUUGUGGCACGGGUUAUAGGGAGGGAACACUGCGAUUUUUCAGCAGGGUUAACAACAUCUAAACAUCUGCUUUGUGGCCAGGCUAAGUCUGGCGUACAACUUGACUGAAAUAGCAGAAUGCUGCUUAGUUUUCUGUUUCAUCUGCUGUCGUGUGACAGGACGAUCUUUUUUGACGUGUGGAUGCUCGGCGAUGCCUGCGUCUCCAAGCAGAACUGAUCUGGUUUUGAGGAGGUUUUGUAUCGGACUCAGGAGAACUUUUGUUGGUAUUUGUAGGGGUAAUUUUUACAGUGCCUAGGUAUGGUUUUAUGUUUUUCCUUGGGAACCAUCUUGGACCAGAUGGUAGGGGCACACAGGUAUAUCCCCAUCCCCAGGUAAUUACAGUAAUUUCACCAUGAUAAGCCGCACCAUUUAGACUAAAAUUUUUGUCCCAACCCGGAAGUGCGGCUUACACUCAGAAGCGGCCAAUAUAUGAACAAAGUUCGGAAAUUUCCCAACCCGGAAGUGCAAGCCGUGGGCCUAGCUGAGCUCGCGAAUUGAGCACCGGCCAGUAAAACCCGUGAUCGCG
Catharus ustulatus (Swainson's thrush) is the source of this 3916-nucleotide long non-coding RNA. Lineage: Eukaryota; Metazoa; Chordata; Aves; Passeriformes; Turdidae. The record is from Ensembl.